UGGGGAAUAUUGGACAAUGGGCGAAAGCCUGAUCCAGCCAUGCCGCGUGUGUGAAGAAGGUCUUCGGAUUGUAAAGCACUUUAAGUUGGGAGGAAGGGCAGUAAGUUAAUACCUUGCUGUUUUGACGUUACCGACAGAAUAAGCACCGGCUAACUCUGUGCCAGCAGCCGCGGUAAUACAGAGGGUGCAAGCGUUAAUCGGAAUUACUGGGCGUAAAGCGCGCGUAGGUGGUUUGUUAAGUUGGAUGUGAAAGCCCCGGGCUCAACCUGGGAACUGCAUCCAAAACUGGCGAGCUAGAGUACGGUAGAGGGUGGUGAAAUUUCCUGUGUAGCGGUGAAAUGCGUAGAUAUAGGAAGGAACACCAGUGGCGAAGGCGACCACCUGGACUGAUACUGACACUGAGGUGCGAAAGCGUGGGGAGCAAACAGG
This 429-nucleotide ribosomal RNA is filed under the name Acidobacteriota bacterium. RNAcentral's name for it is "Acidobacteria bacterium partial 16S ribosomal RNA". It matches the Rfam family "Bacterial small subunit ribosomal RNA", at positions 355 to 776 of the family's 1533-position model. The record is from RNAcentral. Lineage: Bacteria; Pseudomonadati; Acidobacteriota.